RNAcentral lists this ribosomal RNA (440 nucleotides) under uncultured bacterium. Its description in RNAcentral is "partial 16S ribosomal RNA". It matches the Rfam family "Bacterial small subunit ribosomal RNA", at positions 338 to 795 of the family's 1533-position model. The record is from RNAcentral.
CCUACGGGAGGCAGCAGUAAGGGAUAUUGGUCAAUGGGGGAAACCCUGAACCAGCAACGCCGCGUGAGGGAAGACGGUUUUCGGAUUGUAAACCUCUGUCCUCUGUGAAGAUGAUGACGGUAGCAGAGGAGGAAGCUCCGGCCAACUACGUGCCAGAAGCCGCGGUAAUACGGAGGGAGCGGGCGUUGUCCGGAUUUACUGGGUGUAAAGGGUGCGUAGGCGGCUUGGCAAGUCAGUAGUGAAAUCCAUGGGCUUAACCCAUGAACUGCUAUUGAAACUGGCGAGCUUGAGUGAAGUAGAGGUAGGCGGAAUGCCCGGUGUAGCGGUGAAAUGCGUAGAGAUCGGGAGGAACACCAGUGGCGAAGGCGGCCUGCUGGGCUUUAACUGACGCUGAGGCACGAAAGCGUGGGUAGCAAACAGGAUUAGAUACCCCGGUAGUC